This 472-nucleotide ribosomal RNA is filed under the name uncultured bacterium. RNAcentral describes it as "bacterial SSU rRNA". It matches the Rfam family "Bacterial small subunit ribosomal RNA", at positions 355 to 825 of the family's 1533-position model. The record is from RNAcentral.
UGGGGAAUAUUGGACAAUGGGCGCAAGCCUGAUCCAGCGACGCCGCGUGUGUGAAGAAGGCCUGCGGGUUGUAAAGCACUUUCGAUGGGAACGAAAUGUGCCGGGUUAAUACCCCGGUAAGCUGACGUUACUCAAUGAAGAAGCACCGGCUAACUCUGUGCCAGCAGCCGCGGUAAUACAGAGGGUGCGAGCGUUAAUCGGAAUUACUGGGCGUAAAGCGCACGUAGGUGGCGACGUAAGUCGGGUGUGAAAGCCCCGGGCUCAACCUGGGAAUUGCAUUCGAGACUGCAUUGCUGGAGUACGGAAGAGGAGGGCGGAAUUCCCGGUGUAGCGGUGAAAUGCGUAGAUAUCCGGAGGAACACCAGUGGCGAAGGCGGCCUGCUGGGCCCAAACUGACGCUGAGGCACGAAAGCGUGGGUAGCAAACAGGAUUAGAUACCCUAGUAGUCCCUGAGCGGGCUGGCAAGGCGCAU